UUGCUAGAUUUUCAUCAUUAUGGAUACCAACUCAUUUCUAACAGAACAAAAAAAUUUUGAGCAAACAUGACUCAAAACUGAAUGGGGAAAAUUAGAUACUACGAAGUCCUAUAAAUCAGAUGAGCCAAGUAAAUCAUUAGCAGACACCGGGCCAAACUUUCAGUUUGCCUUAAAUUCGUUCCAACACCGGACGAGUAGGUAAAAAUACAGACCGCUUAGCUAUAGCUGUCUGUUUAAAACAAUGUAAGAUCAAAAGAACUCUAGAAAUAAACCCACUCAAAAUUUAACCUCAUCCUCAACACAAGCCACCUUCUGGACUGUAACCUCUUUGCCCAAACUGCCUAAUCAGAUGCUACUGAAUGACAUAAGUAAAAUUUAGUCAUCUCGAAAAAAUUUUGCACGGUUUUUCAACGGGAUUUUAAAUAUCUACAAUAUAUUCACCAUACAAAAUUUAAUUGGUCAAAACUGCAAAUAGAAAAAAACGGGUAGAACUUGUGAUAGACCUGUGAUUCUAUUUACCCUCUUAAGCAAUGGAAUUAACUAAAUUCUGAGAGAUGGAAAAUUAGGCGGACAACUCACGACUGUAAUAUGCUUAUGGAAUAUUUUUGUACUUCGAGGAAAGAAUCACUUUUCACUCUAUAAACAUGGUUAUUUAGGAUUUUACCAUAGUCCAUUGGGAUCAAACAUCCAAGUGACUUCAUCAAAACAGGAACUUGGACCUUUUCACUCGUGUUCCUACUGACUAGUGAAACACAGUAAGAACAAAGCUGUCAACAGCUCUACAGCGAUCCAAGGGGAGGCUUUAAAAUUUCAUGAAAAUCCCGAGGUUCGCGUCCGGCCCACUCACCGACGAAUUGCCUCCCGGUCGCGGCCGCAGCAAUCGGCCCGUCACCGGGCCCCGCCGCGGGGAAGAAAGGCGAAAGGACGGCGCCCGAUUGGGGCUUCGAGUCGUUGAGGGAGGAGCUGUGCCUCGGCGGCACGCCCUGCGGCCACCGGAGACCUGCCAGCUCCGCGGGGGCGGAGGGAAGCUGGCCGCAGGGAAGGGCGGGCCUUGAGGUCGGAGGUCAACCGCGCGGCAUUACGGGAAGGGCGGUGGAGGUCGCUAUUGGCGGCGCAAGUGGACCGUCUCCCCGAGCCACCUGCAGCUGCGGCGCGACCUCUGGCGGAGGAAUCUGGGCGAAUCCAGCGCGUGAUUGGUCGCUCUGAGGUCAGCGCUGAUUUGGGAAGCUUCCGCGCGCCAGUGGGCCAGGUGCAGCCUCAGCUGUGAGGCUGUGGUUGGCGAGAUGGGGACGGAUUAGGCUUCGCUGAGCUUUAAUGUUAAAAUUUGAGGACCUGGAAACCGACGCCGUUUCUGCCGUCGGGAAGUGCAGCUUCCCUCCUGGCCGCCUGGUUCGUCUCCGCCUUGACAUGUCGAGACGAAACCGAAGAGCUACUGUUGCCUAGCAGCUGGAGGUUGUGCUAUGUCAGCCGCUCUCGGGGCACCUUGCUAACUCACAAAAGAGGGGAAGGCAAACCCCGUGAGAUUUUAAGCAUUUACUACCGCGAUAAAGCAGAUGUGGCCAUGUGGCUGCGUUCCAGAUGCUGGUGUGUUGGCAGAAUGGAGACAUGGCAUUUCCAGGCUGUACCAUGACAGCCUUUCUCACUCUCUUCCCUUCUGCCAGCUGAUGAAGAGGAAGGCAGGGGGUGAGUCCCCUGGGCUAUGAUGGCAGUAUAAGCCCUGAAGGAAGUAGUUACGUGGCAGCUGGUCUUAAUCUUAACCAAUACUCUUCUAAAGGAACUCCAAGGAACUCUUGAAAACAACUCAGGAAGUCAUAAAUGUCUAGAAGAAUUUAAAUUGUAACUUUGCAUAUUGCUUUCUAAAUUAGUGGUCACAUUUGGCCUGACUGGGGAUGGGGGUUCCAAAGAUGGUGACAUGAGCACGGGUUCUCUUUAAAAUCCUCACCAAAAUGACCUAUGGGACAGGCUCAAGGGGAAGAAAAAGCCACGUUAGCUGGAAAUCUGGAGUGCCACUCAAGCACUGGACGUAUGGGAGAAUUUCUGGUAAGACACAAUAUUGAUGUGUUACUGUCAUAUUGAGUAACAGUGACCGUGAGAUGUGAUCAUCAAGUGACUUCCCUUUGUCACACACUGUGUCAUUACAUUGGUCUGUGAGCUUGUUUUUUUCUUUGCCCCUGGACCAAACAGCUGGUCCCAUGACCUUUUCUUUCUUUUUAACUAUUAGGUAAUUACAAGUUAUGUAGUUAGUUCAAGUCAGUGCAGAGGCUCACUCUUAAAUGCCCAGUCCUAUGUAAUAAAACUCUUACACUGAUUUAAAGUGGAGACUUCCCCUCCUUCAGUGCAGGUCUAUAGCAAGCUGGCCACAGACAGUAGGAGAAAGAGGUGGGAAGCUGGGUGACAUCUUCUAAGUUCCUGUCUUGUUCUUCUGCUCCUUCUUUUUUAGCAUAAAAUCAUGGUUUUUGACCUCUCCAGGGAUUAAUCUGCAGGAGGUGUGGUGCUAGGGUUCAGGGUGGUGGAGUACAGGAGCAUGUCGAGGGAUCGUAGUUGAUGACUACUGUCUUGCCUGGCAGUUGUUUAAAGCAGAUUCUUUCUCUUGUGGUUUUGGAGGCCACCCCAUCCCCGUGGAUUUCUCACCUAGACUUCAGUCUAGAAACUGAGAGAGUAUAUUGUGUUCCAGGGAAACAUAAGAAAAAAAAACCCGAACCUCUGCCUUGGACUCGAAAAGUUUACACUGAACUGGAAACACAAGUAGGCCAACUGAAAGUCAAAUUUUAAUGAAAAUAGACAUCACAUCCAAGGACCAGAUAUUUAGACACAACUUCCAAAGUGAGCUCACAGGGAUACUUGAUCUUCAUUUAGCACUAAGAGAUUAAGUCUUCUUAUUCCAUGUGAUCAAAACAGUUGGAGUCAGAGUAAAAUGUCACAUGCUUACCUUAACAGUAUAUUUUCACUUAAAACAUGCAAACACAUAUGCAUUCAAUACUUUACAGAUAAAGAGCCAGAAAAUAUUGGGGCUACCCAUCACCACACUCAUAGUGCACUGUCUGUGAUUUCUGUUUUCAGCCUCAAUGUCUGUAGCGGAGUGGGCGCUUAGAGACAGCUGUACAGCAAUUGGCUCCUUUAACUGUUCGCUGAGCUUCCCAACCUUAGAUGUUUGUUUUAUCCACGUCUAAUGGAACAGCAAUUAUUUUCGUUGAACUUUUACAAAGCAUUUGAUUUUUGUUUUCAUAAAAAUAACUUGCUUUUCGUGCUGAUUUUAUUAGUAUUAUUUAUUUUUUUAUUAAGCUAUCAUUGAUACACAAUCUUAUGAAGGUUUCACAUGAGCAACAUUGUGGUUACAACAUUCACCCAUAUUAUCGAGUCCCCACACACAAACCAUUUCGCACUCAAUUUAUUAGUUCACAUAAUUUCAAUAACUAGUAAAUAAAUAAAACUAGCCAUAAAUCUGUUUGGGAGCAAACCCCCUUGACUCUUGGUAAGUAUACAACUCAACUGUUGGGGGCAGUAGUGAGUGAUCUGGCCCCGAUCACUCAGGGCUAUGGGCAGCUUGGCAGCAAGCUCUGCAGAGGAACAGAAGGGUGCCCGUUAAUCUGGGAAAUUGUUGAAGUGGACUGUGUACUAAGAAGCGUCUACCACAUUUAUUCUGCUUGGAAUAGCAUGAUAUCAUGGAAAGAGCAUGGCCCUGGGGUUUAAACAGAGCUAGGUUUAAAUCUUAAAUUAUUUUUUUCUAGCUCAGUGACUUAGGGAAAAUUACUUAAUCUUUCUGAAUCUCAACUUCUUUAUUUGUAAAACUUGGUAACUAUUCAUGAGAAUUAAAACCAAAUAGUGAAGAUUCUAACAUCUAGUUGGUCAAUAAACAAUAGCUGUUAAUAUUAUUAUCAUUA
Molecule: long non-coding RNA, 3881 nt
Organism: Manis javanica (Malayan pangolin)
Lineage: Eukaryota; Metazoa; Chordata; Mammalia; Pholidota; Manidae
Source: RefSeq, a predicted model, not a curated record